Molecule: ribosomal RNA, 433 nt
Filed under: uncultured soil bacterium
Lineage: Bacteria
Description: bacterial SSU rRNA
Rfam family: Bacterial small subunit ribosomal RNA
Source: RNAcentral
AGAGCGAACGCUGGCGGCAGGCCUAACACAUGCAAGUCGAACGAACUCUUCGGAGUUAGUGGCGGACGGGUGAGUAACACGUGGGAACGUGCCUUUAGGUUCGGAAUAACUCAGGGAAACUUGUGCUAAUACCGAAUGUGCCCUUCGGGGGAAAGAUUUAUCGCCUUUAGAGCGGCCCGCGUCUGAUUAGCUUGUUGGUGGGUAAUGGCCCACCAAGGCUACGAUCAGUAGCUGGUCUGAGAGGAUGACCAGCCACAUUGGGACUGAGACACGGCCCAAACUCCUACGGGAGCAGCAGUGGGAAUCGUUGCGCAAGUGGGACGAAAGCCUAGACCGCAGCCAGUGCCGCGUGUAUGAGUGAAGUCUUAGGAUUAGUAAAUACUUCGACGUGAAGAUAAUGAUAGUAGACCGAGAAGACGCCCGACUAACGUCG